RNAcentral lists this ribosomal RNA (571 nucleotides) under uncultured bacterium. RNAcentral describes it as "partial 16S ribosomal RNA". It matches the Rfam family "Bacterial small subunit ribosomal RNA", at positions 355 to 918 of the family's 1533-position model. The record is from RNAcentral.
UGGGGAAUUUUGGACAAUGGGCGAAAGCCUGAUCCAGCAAUGCCGCGUGUGUGAAGAAGGCCUUCGGGUUGUAAAGCACUUUUGUCCGGAAAGAAAUCCUUGGCUCUAAUACAGUCGGGGGAUGACGGUACCGGAAGAAUAAGCACCGGCUAACUACGUGCCAGCAGCCGCGGUAAUACGUAGGGUGCAAGCGUUAAUCGGAAUUACUGGGCGUAAAGCGUGCGCAGGCGGUUUGCUAAGACCGAUGUGAAAUCCCCGGGCUCAACCUGGGAACUGCAUUGGUGACUGGCAGGCUAGAGUAUGGCAGAGGGGGGUUAGAAUUCCACGUGUAGCAGUGAAAUGCGUAGAGAUGUGGAGGAAUACCGAUGGCGAAGCAGCCCCCUGGGCCAAUACUGACGCUCAUGCACGAAAGCGUGGGGAGCAAACAGGAUUAGAUACCCUGGUAGUCCACGCCCUAAACGAUGUCAACUAGUUGUCGGGGAUUCAUUUCCUUAGUAACGUAGCUAACGCGUGAAGGUUGACCGCCUGGGGAGUACGGUCGCAAGAUUAAAACUCAAAUGAAUUGACGGGG